GAAGGUAGUCCGAGAUGGCUGAUGUGAGAACACAACAGGAUCUUUCCAAGAGGAUUAGAACAGUUUACUUACAUCGUAUUAAACAAGUCAGUCCAAAGGAAACGUAUUAAAGACUAAACCUUCAGUGAUACCAAACAAAAUGCAUCACCCUCCAACAUUAGAGGUGAUGAAUGAGUUCUCAUCUUAAAAAUGUUACAGGCUGAUCUUCUGAAAGAUUUAAAACCUGUAGCGUUAACUCAUGGUGACCAGCGAGCAGGCUUCUUCUUUAGUGCCUUUGAUAGCACCUUGGUGCCCUCUAGCUGCGUUUUCCCACACAACAACAUUUAAUUAUUGGCUGGAACUUUUUCAAGUCCUUAAUAUGCACAAGAACACACUCAUUAAAAGACUGACCUUCAGUCCUACUGAGUAAAUCAAACAGGUGGACCAAUGAGCUGUAAGAGUUCAACAAAAGCCCGACGAGUUUGGACGUCUUUAUAAAGUCUGUUUUGAGAUGGAGCAAUACGGAAUAGUAAAUAUGAAAAAGUUUUUUAUUUUUUAUUAAGUAGCUAAAAUGAAUUCAAGAUUUAAACUUUUAACAUCAAACUCGUGGCAAUUAAACUCAUCUUUAAUUCAGUUUUAAGGCAAGAAGCGUUCCUCCUUCAGCAGACGAAUGACAGCAUAAAGGGUUUUUGUUCAGAUUCUUAGAUUUUGGGAUUUGUAGAGAAACUGACAGAAACAAGUGUGUCUGUGUGUCUUGAUUGGUUUCUUUAGUUCAAAAUGUACUUUUUACCCAUAAUGAACACAAGGGGGCGCUGUCUUACCUGAAAUAACCGCGUUUUAAAGUCCCAAUCCAGAUUGGACUGUGAAUAGAAUUUCCCUUUGAUCUUGACUCUUUAAUCAAAACGCUGCUCAUCUCAAACAAUUCAAUAAGGUACUUUUUAAAAAAAAAUAAAGCUAAAGUCUGUUUACCUGACAGUUCUUUCAUAGAGAGAAAGAUGAAUCUCACCCUUAAAAUCAACUUUUUACCCACUUCUAAAACGGUCGAUGAAGGCUUCUUUUUUCAUUAUCACAAUAAUUCUGUUUGAAUGUAACCCUAUGCAUUGUGUACGUCUCCACAAAGACUCAAUGUGUUUGACAUUCUUAUUUCACCACCAUUCAUCUUUAUCUGAAAUGAUGACACCGACGGUUGAUUAAAGCUCUGGUCUUAACCAUAACACAUGUGAUCAAAUGCGCCAAUGGUGCCUUUUUAUUUUUCUUACAAAACAAAACAAAAACAUGUUGAAACAGUUCAAAUAUGACCACUUGGGAAGCAAAAUGCUAAACCAAGAUGACAGUGACCCGAAAUAUGAUAAUAAAAAAAAAAAAAGGAAU
Molecule: long non-coding RNA, 1350 nt
Organism: Labrus mixtus (cuckoo wrasse)
Lineage: Eukaryota; Metazoa; Chordata; Actinopteri; Labriformes; Labridae
Exons: 2
Source: RefSeq, a predicted model, not a curated record